This is a small nucleolar RNA of Cricetulus griseus (Chinese hamster), 58 nucleotides long. Ensembl annotates it as small nucleolar RNA SNORD50. The record is from Ensembl. Lineage: Eukaryota; Metazoa; Chordata; Mammalia; Rodentia; Cricetidae.
GAUCAAUGGUGAAGUAUAUCCCGAAGCUGAUUACCUGAUGAAAAAUUGCUUCAAAGAU